UUGGCACUAUGCUGUUGGACCUCCCAGCCUCCAGAACUAUCUUGAAGGACAAGAGAAUUUACAGAGGGCUCAAUCUGGAGAAUGACUUUGAAGAGUGAGGUGUCAGUACAGUCCAGAGUGAAGAAGGAACUCUGCUGAGCAAUCACAGGCCAUCAGCCAACUCCAGGACAGUGGAGGGCUUGGGCAUGAAGAGGACUAAGUGUCAAAACAGAGAAGACAUAGGCAGCCUAGAAUGGUGAUUCAGAAGAUGGCAAGGUGCUGCCUCUGCUGGUUUGGAGUUUUGGCCCCAAYCUGUCCUCCUGGUAUGAUCUGUGCGACUAACUUAACCUCUCUGAGCCUUUGUUUUCUUAUCUGCAAAUUGGAAAGCGCAAGUAUCUUCCUUCUAAGGUAAUUAGGAGAAUUAAAGUGAUAACUCAGAAAGUCUGGUAAGUGCUUAAUAUAUUUGAGCAAUUAUUUUUAUGAGCUCUUAUUCUUUCAACUCUUUUUAAGGGGAAAUAAUUUCCAUAUCCUUUCUUACUCCUCAGGAUUAUUGGGAGGCAAAAAUACACAAUUCUGUAAGUGAAAAACACUUUGUAAGCCAUGCCCCACUUUACAGAGAUCAGGGAUGGUGAUCAUGAUUCUUCUGAAUCCCCCAUAAUACCUCACACUAUGCUGGGUGUGUGAGAAGUGCCCCGUGAGCCCCAUUCACCAAUGACACUGGGACAGCUUACGUCCUGGAAAAGAAAACCAUACUGGCCCCAAUCAAUAACUAAAUUCCUUCUAAGACAUGACCCUUCCCAUGGCUGUCCAGAGGCAGAGCAGGGUCUUGGUUCUAUUUCAAAGCCCUCCUUCUUCUUUUCUUUCUUUCCUCCCAGGCUCCCAGAAACCUUGCCAGCAGUGAAAGCACAACCAUAUUGCUGGAGCUGAAAUCUGCAGCCUGUCCUUCAGAUGGUUUCUGCAGAUGGGCUGUUACUGCGCUGAAAGCAUUGAACUCUGCAAGUGGAUUGCACACCCAGCUCCUCUGAACCACUGAUAGGUGGCAGCUCAGUCUCUUCCCCCUAAUGCUCUGCUCGCUCUCUCUCUCUCUCUCCCUCUCUCUGACUUUUUGUUUGUUGACAGCAGUUGGGAACAUACCUAGCUGGGCACAAUUCUCUUCUAGGGAGAAGCAGCCCUCACUUACACGCAGGGGGGAGAUGAGAUUGCUGUUCAAAAGUACCAGCCUUUCUCUGAAGUGGUGUCACAUCCAGACAGAAAAAUAAAUGUGCUCUGCCCUCAUGGAUGAUGAGACGUCAUCUUUCAGACAGACUUUUGACACGGGGGGAUCAAGGUAUGAUUGCCUUUGACUCUUCUCUGCAGAGAAAACAGCACCUAAUUGGACCAAGAGAAAAAAGAGUCAGCUGCUUCUUUCAUGAUUAUUUAAACACCCCUGCACAGUCAAAAAUGCUUCAUUGUUUCAUUACAAGUGAAAUCUGAUUGCCAUUACAUUUUCUACUGGCCUCCCCUCUAUGCAAAUUGGAGAGAAAAAAAGAAAUUUAUAAGUCACUGGAACUCAUUUGCUUUUCUAAAGAUAUUAUUUGCAUGUAGACAUCAGCAGCCUGAAAAAAUCCUAACAAGGAAUGUCAAACUGACAGCCUUGUUUUCCUAUUGUUCUCUCUGAAAACAUCAUUUUGAACAUCACAUCCACAAAGGCGAGUGGGAUUCUGCCUUAUCUUGUCUCAGGAAGCGGCGUCAUGGUUAAUUGUAGGCAUUGGACAUUAAUGAAAAUCAUUUCUGGGAAAGUCCAGUUUUUA
This is a long non-coding RNA of Urocitellus parryii (Arctic ground squirrel), 1769 nucleotides long. RefSeq lists it as uncharacterized. NCBI's taxonomy places the organism in Eukaryota, Metazoa, Chordata, Mammalia, Rodentia, Sciuridae. The record is from RefSeq and is a predicted model, not a curated record.